GGGGAAUCUUCCGCAAUGGACGAAAGUCUGACGGAGCAACGCCGCGUGUAUGACGAAGGCCUUCGGGUUGUAAAGUACUGUCUUUAGGGACGAACGGCAGGUAUGCGAACAGUGUAUCUGCAUGACGGUACCUAAGGAGGAAGCCCCGGCUAACUACGUGCCAGCAGCCGCGGUAAUACGUAGGGGGCGAGCGUUGUCCGGAAUCAUUGGGCGUAAAGGGCGCGUAGGCGGAUCAUUAAGUCUGGUGUGAAAUAUAGGGGCUCAACCCCUAAACUGCAUCGGAAACUGGUGAUCUUGAGGACAGGAGAGGAAAGUGGAAUUCCACGUGUAGCGGUGAAAUGCGUAGAGAUGUGGAGGAACACCAGUGGCGAAGGCGACUUUCUGGACUGUAACUGACGCUGAGGCGCGAAAGCGUGGGGAGCAAAC
Molecule: ribosomal RNA, 426 nt
Filed under: uncultured bacterium
Lineage: Bacteria
Description: bacterial SSU rRNA
Rfam family: Bacterial small subunit ribosomal RNA
Source: RNAcentral